This 491-nucleotide ribosomal RNA is filed under the name uncultured bacterium. RNAcentral describes it as "bacterial SSU rRNA". It matches the Rfam family "Bacterial small subunit ribosomal RNA", at positions 1032 to 1529 of the family's 1533-position model. The record is from RNAcentral.
AGACAGGUGGUGCAUGGUUGUCGUCAGCUCGUGUCGCGAGAUGUUGGGUUAAGUCCCGCAACGAGCGCAACCCUUGUAUUCAGUUGCUACGCAAGAGCACUCUGGAUAGACUGCCGUUGACAAAACGGAGGAAGGUGGGGAUGACGUCAAAUCAUCAUGCCCCUUACGACCUGGGCCACACACGUACUACAAUGGCGCACAACAGAGGGAAGCAAGACAGCGAUGUGGAGCAAACCCCUAAAAUGCGUCCCAGUUCAGAUUGCAGGCUGCAACCCGCCUGCAUGAAGUCGGAAUUGCUAGUAAUCGCGGAUCAGCAUGCCGCGGUGAAUACGUUCCCGGGCCUUGUACACACCGCCCGUCACACCAUGGGAGCCGGUAACACCCGAAGUCAGUAGCCUGACCGCAAGGAGGGCGCUGCCGAAGGUGGGAUUGGUGACUGGGGUGAAGUCGUAACAAGGUAGCCGUAUCGGAAGGUGCGGCUGGAUCACCUC